Molecule: transfer RNA, 72 nt
Filed under: Ovis aries (sheep)
Lineage: Eukaryota; Metazoa; Chordata; Mammalia; Artiodactyla; Bovidae
Rfam family: tRNA
About the family: Transfer RNA (tRNA) molecules are approximately 80 nucleotides in length. Their secondary structure includes four short double-helical elements and three loops (D, anti-codon, and T loops).
Source: Rfam by way of RNAcentral
UCCCUGGUGGCUCAGUGGUAAAGAAUCUGCCUGCCAAUGCAGGAGACUCGGGUUCAAUCCCUGAUCCGGGAA